AGCAAGACUAGUGGAGCAAGAAGCCUACAAGGAGGGAGACAGAGAGGAACUUAUUGUUCUCUCUCCAUUGCAACAACAACAGGAGGUGGAUGUCGGAGACCAAUCUGGCAGAAGUUGCAUGGUGAUCAGAGGACAAGACAACAGGAGAGAGGUGAGCAAUACAUGAGCAAGAGAGAAGAUUGUGUUUUGCUGAGUCAGGCCACUAGGAACACAGCAAAGGAAAGGAGACUUUAGGAAAGGCAGGCCUCAGGCAGGAGGAGAGGGAAGCAAGUGAUGCCUGCUUGACAUGACAAAGAAGACAGGCUCCCUUCAAUGCCCUCUACAUUUGACUGAUUGCAAGCAUCAGGGAAAAGGAGAAAACUCAAAGGAGAUCCUCUCUGUCUCCUGUCCACAAUCAACGCUAGUGUUGCAAGAAGACUACAAGCAGGCUGGGGGAGAGGAGCUUAUCUCUCUCCAUUGCUACAGAGACUUGACUAGAAGGUGAGUAUGGGAAAAGGGGGAAGUGGGAAGGUAGAUGCUUUCUCUUUGAGAUCCAGGACAAGAGGAGCAAAGCAAGGAGAAGAUGAGGUAAAAACAGAAGAUUGUCCCUCCCUUCCUUUUCCUCCUGCUGGAAUGCCCUCUCCAGGAGACCCAUCUGUCAGAUGUUUGAUGGUCAUCAGAAGAUGACCCCAGAGUAUUUUGGCAAAGACAUGAACAGUAGCUGAGCAGGACAGACGAUUCUCUUUUCCUGAUUCGGGCCGCCAGGGCCACAGCAAGGACAGGGCAGAGUAUUUUGACAGUAGGAUUGAAGAAAGUAAAGGGCAUGCAGUACAAGCACCAUGCUCUCCCUAUAUUUAUAUCAGAUCAAGAGAGAAAACUCACAUGAGCUGGUCUCUUUCUCCUUCUUCCUGCAAGCAAGACUAGAGCGGUAAGAAGACUACAAGGAGAGAGACAGAGAGGAAGUUAUAGUUCUCUCUCCAUUGUAAUAACCACAGUUGGUGGAUGUGAGUAAGUGGAGAAGGAGCAAUGGGAACGCUCCCUCUUUUGCCAGGGGGAGACCCUGAAGAGCACAGCCAUUAGAAAUUCAGGGGAGACCUUCCUUACUUCUGGUCCAGGUCAACAAAUUGGAAAAAUUGUUGCGGAAGUAAAGAGGCUCUCAUCCGUAUCUCUCUUCUCCUUCUCUCCUGCACUGGUCUAGGAAAGAGAUGAGCAAUACAUGAGCAAGAGAGAAGAUUGUGUUUUGCGGAGUCAGGCUAUUAGGAACACAGCUAAGGCAAGAAGACUUUAAGAAAGGCAGGUCUGAGGCAGAAAGAAAGGUAAGCAAGAGGUGGCUGCUUGGCCUGACAAACAAGACAGGCUCCCUUCAAUGCCCUCUCCGUUCGACUGAUUGCAAACAUCAGGGAAAAGGAGAAAACUCAAAGGAGAUCCUCUCUAUGUCCUGUCCCCAGUCAGCACUAGUGUUGCAAGAAGACUACAAGCAGGGUGAGGGACAGGAGCUUAUCUCUCUCCAUUGCUACAGAGACUUGACUAGAAGGUGAGUAUGGGAAAAGGGGGAAGUGGGAAGGUAGAUGCUUUCUCUUUGAGAUCCAGGACAAGAGGAGCAAAGCAAGGAGAAGAUGAGGUAAAAACAGAAGAUUGUCCCUCUCUUCCUUUUCCUCCUGCUGGAAUGCCCUCUCCAGGAGACCCAUCGGUCAGA
Dromiciops gliroides (monito del monte) is the source of this 1675-nucleotide long non-coding RNA. RefSeq lists it as uncharacterized. The transcript is spliced from 7 exons. Lineage: Eukaryota; Metazoa; Chordata; Mammalia; Microbiotheria; Microbiotheriidae. The record is from RefSeq and is a predicted model, not a curated record.